UUAAGCGACUAAGCGUACACGGUGGAUGCCCUGGCAGUCAGAGGCGAUGAAGGACGUGCUAAUCUGCGAAAAGCGUCGGUAAGGUGAUAUGAACCGUUAUAACCGGCGAUGUCCGAAUGGGGAAACCCAGUGCAAUUCGUUGCACUAUCGUUAACUGAAUACAUAGGUUAACGAGGCGAACCGGGGGAACUGAAACAUCUAAGUACCCCGAGGAAAAGAAAUCAACCGAGAUUCCCCCAGUAGCGGCGAGCGAACGGGGAGCAGCCCAGAGUCUGAAUCAGCUUGUGUGUUAGUGGAACGGUCUGGAAAGUCCGACGGUACAGGGUGAUAGUCCCGUACACCAAAAUGCACAGGUUGUGAACUCGAAGAGUAGGGCGGGACACGUGGUAUCCUGUCUGAAUAUGGGGGGACCAUCCUCCAAGGCUAAAUACUCCUGACUGACCGAUAGUGAACCAGUACCGUGAGGGAAAGGCGAAAAGAACCCCGGCGAGGGGAGUGAAAAAGAACCUGAAACCGUGUACGUACAAGCAGUGGGAGCACCUUCGGGUGUGACUGCGUACCUUUUGUAUAAUGGGUCAGCGACUUAUAUUCUGUAGCAAGGUUAACCGUAUAGGGGAGCCGCAGGGAAACCGAGUCUUAACUGGGCGUUAAGUUGCAGGGUAUAGACCCGAAACCCGGUGAUCUAGCCAUGGGCAGGUUGAAGGUUGGGUAACACUAACUGGAGGACCGAACCGACUAAUGUUGAAAAAUUAGCGGAUGACUUGUGGCUGGGGGUGAAAGGCCAAUCAAACCGGGAGAUAGCUGGUUCUCCCCGAAAGCUAUUUAGGUAGCGCCUCGUGAACUCAUCUUCGGGGGUAGAGCACUGUUUCGGCUAGGGGGUCAUCCCGACUUACCAACCCGAUGCAAACUACGAAUACCGAAGAAUGUUAUCACGGGAGACACACGGCGGGUGCUAACGUCCGUCGUGAAGAGGGAAACAACCCAGACCGCCAGCUAAGGUCCCAAAGUCAUGGUUAAGUGGGAAACGAUGUGGGAAGGCACAGACAGCCAGGAUGUUGGCUUAGAAGCAGCCAUCAUUUAAAGAAAGCGUAAUAGCUCACUGGUCGAGUCGGCCUGCGCGGAAGAUGUAACGGGGCUAAACCAUGCACCGAAGCUGCGGCAGCGACACUAUGUGUUGUUGGGUAGGGGAGCGUUCUGUAAGCCUGCGAAGGUGUGCUGUGAGGCAUGCUGGAGGUAUCAGAAGUGCGAAUGCUGACAUAAGUAACGAUAAAGCGGGUGAAAAGCCCGCUCGCCGGAAGACCAAGGGUUCCUGUCCAACGUUAAUCGGGGCAGGGUGAGUCGACCCCUAAGGCGAGGCCGAAAGGCGUAGUCGAUGGGAAACAGGUUAAUAUUCCUGUACUUGGUGUUACUGCGAAGGGGGGACGGAGAAGGCUAUGUUAGCCGGGCGACGGUUGUCCCGGUUUAAGCAUGUAGGCUGAUUGUCCAGGCAAAUCCGGAUAAUCAAGGCUGAGGUGUGAUGACGAGGCACUACGGUGCUGAAGUAACAAAUGCCCUGCUUCCAGGAAAAGCCUCUAAGCAUCAGGUAACAUCAAAUCGUACCCCAAACCGACACAGGUGGUCAGGUAGAGAAUACCAAGGCGCUUGAGAGAACUCGGGUGAAGGAACUAGGCAAAAUGGUGCCGUAACUUCGGGAGAAGGCACGCUGGUGUGUAGGUGAAGUCCCUGCGGAUGGAGCUGAGACCAGUCGAAGAUACCAGCUGGCUGCAACUGUUUAUUAAAAACACAGCACUGUGCAAACACGAAAGUGGACGUAUACGGUGUGACGCCUGCCCGGUGCCGGAAGGUUAAUUGAUGGGGUUAUCCGUAAGGAGAAGCUCUUGAUCGAAGCCCCGGUAAACGGCGGCCGUAACUAUAACGGUCCUAAGGUAGCGAAAUUCCUUGUCGGGUAAGUUCCGACCUGCACGAAUGGCGUAAUGAUGGCCAGGCUGUCUCCACCCGAGACUCAGUGAAAUUGAACUCGCUGUGAAGAUGCAGUGUACCCGCGGCAAGACGGAAAGACCCCGUGAACCUUUACUAUAGCUUGACACUGAACAUUGAGCCUUGAUGUGUAGGAUAGGUGGGAGGCUUUGAAGCGUGGACGCCAGUCUGCGUGGAGCCAACCUUGAAAUACCACCCUUUAAUGUUUGAUGUUCUAACGUUGGCCCCUUAUCGGGGUUGCGGACAGUGUCUGGUGGGUAGUUUGACUGGGGCGGUCUCCUCCCAAAGCGUAACGGAGGAGCACGAAGGUUAGCUAAUCCUGGUCGGACAUCAGGAGGUUAGUGCAAUGGCAUAAGCUAGCUUGACUGCGAGCGUGACGGCGCGAGCAGGUGCGAAAGCAGGUCAUAGUGAUCCGGUGGUUCUGAAUGGAAGGGCCAUCGCUCAACGGAUAAAAGGUACUCCGGGGAUAACAGGCUGAUACCGCCCAAGAGUUCAUAUCGACGGCGGUGUUUGGCACCUCGAUGUCGGCUCAUCACAUCCUGGGGCUGAAGUAGGUCCCAAGGGUAUGGCUGUUCGCCAUUUAAAGUGGUACGCGAGCUGGGUUUAGAACGUCGUGAGACAGUUCGGUCCCUAUCUGCCGUGGGCGCUGGAGAAUUGAGGGGGGCUGCUCCUAGUACGAGAGGACCGGAGUGGACGCAUCACUGGUGUUCGGGUUGUCAUGCCAAUGGCACUGCCCGGUAGCUAAAUGCGGAAGAGAUAAGUGCUGAAAGCAUCUAAGCACGAAACUUGCCCCGAGAUGAGUUCUCCCUGAGACUUUAAGUCUCCUGAAGGAACGUUAAAGACGAUGACGUUGAUAGGCCGGGUGUGUAAGCGCAGCGAUGCGUUGAGCUAACCGGUACUAAUGAACCGUGAGGCUUAACCUU
Molecule: ribosomal RNA, 2900 nt
Filed under: Klebsiella pneumoniae BWH 30
Lineage: Bacteria; Pseudomonadati; Pseudomonadota; Gammaproteobacteria; Enterobacterales; Enterobacteriaceae
Description: bacterial LSU rRNA
Rfam family: Bacterial large subunit ribosomal RNA
Source: RNAcentral